UGCCAGCAGCCGCGGUGAUACGUAGGGUGCGAGCGUUGUCCGGAUUUAUUGGGCGUAAAGGGCUCGUAGGUGGUUGAUCGCGUCGGAAGUGUAAUCUUGGGGCUUAACCCUGAGCGUGCUUUCGAUACGGGUUGACUUGAGGAAGGUAGGGGAGAAUGGAAUUCCUGGUGGAGCGGUGGAAUGCGCAGAUAUCAGGAGGAACACCAGUGGCGAAGGCGGUUCUCUGGGCCUUUCCUGACGCUGAGGAGCGAAAGCGUGGGGAGCGAACAGGCUUAGAUACCCUGGUAGUCCACGCUGUAAACGGUGGGUACUAGGUGUGGGGUCCAUUCCACGGGUUCCGCGCCGUAGCUAACGCUUUAAGUACCCCGCCUGGGGAGUACGGCCGCAAGGCUAAAACUCAAAGGAAUUGACGGGGGCCCGCACAAGA
RNAcentral lists this ribosomal RNA (427 nucleotides) under uncultured bacterium. Its description in RNAcentral is "bacterial SSU rRNA". It matches the Rfam family "Bacterial small subunit ribosomal RNA", at positions 506 to 930 of the family's 1533-position model. The record is from RNAcentral.